AAAAAGGAAGCAUGUUUGGAAGGUGCGGCUGGAUCACCUCCUUUCUAAGGAAAAAGGAAGCACGUUUAGCGUCUUAUUUAGUUUUGAGAGGUCUUGUGGGGCCUUAGCUCAGCUGGGAGAGCGCCUGCUUUGCACGCAGGAGGUCAGCGGUUCGAUCCCGCUAGGCUCCAUUAAAACAGGAUACUAACAGACGG
Molecule: transfer RNA, 194 nt
Filed under: Streptococcus equi subsp. zooepidemicus
Lineage: Bacteria; Bacillati; Bacillota; Bacilli; Lactobacillales; Streptococcaceae
Description: partial contains 16S ribosomal RNA and 16S-23S ribosomal RNA intergenic spacer
Rfam family: tRNA (bases 98-170)
Source: RNAcentral